AUGGACUGACUUUGAGUGAAGCUAGUUUUCUGGGUGCUCCUGAGGUAUGUAAGGUUCAACUAAGAAAACUAACGGCAAUAUUUCCGCUUGAUAUUCUACUUAUAUAAAUAGAAAAUAGCAAUGCUUUGGGUUAGUGGGGCUUAUGAGUGUUUUAAAGAUUAAGAGAUGACGCUAAUUUCCCCUUCCACGAACUAUGCAUAGUGCAGUCACAGCAUCUUUUUGUGGACGUUGUGGAACUAGUAUUUUUGAGAUUUUUAAGUAAGUAAGGUUCAGCCGGGGACCUUUAAGUAGGUUUUCUCAGCAUAAAAAACAAAUCACAAUCUGCUUUCCACGUUAUGUAAACCUAGCAACUUACGAACUAAGGGGUUAUGAAUUUUGGUUCGUUUUUAAGGGGGAGGACAACUCUCAGGAUGUGUUUCUUUUUUAAGUACUUCCGAAGCUGUUAGUUUUUACGAGUUAUAAAAGCUAAGGAGUCAGGCGAUUAGAGAUGAGUGCCAUUUGGCCCGCUAGCUCACCUUUUUUUUUUUCCUCCUUUUUUUGGGCACAUGCAAGCGAUUACAACAUUCUAAUGUAAGUACGGUAUGUGGACAAGCAUUGCCUUGAUGUUAGGUCCAGUUUUCGAUGUGUUCGGCAAUAAAAGAAACAAUCCAGUUUACAGUAUUAUUAAUCUUCUGAAAGAUAUGUCAGAUAGACACCGCGAUGGAAUGAUGAAGAGAUCUUCAGAUGUCGUAGAGAAGUGGACGAGCUUUCAAAUGUUUCAUCUCAUCUGGGAUCCAGUUAAUGACUGUGGCAGAAUAUCUUUAAUAAAAUUUCUCUUUGUCUAUAAUUUUUAUUUCAUGCAAAUGAUAUCCAUUCAAAUCGGCAUGAAGCUCUGCUUUCAAGACGGAAGGCUCAAAAAGAUGUGAGUCUUUUGCUGCCAACAUUCUGGCAUUCGGACAUCGGAUAACAUAGUCUGUAUCAUUUCUAUCAUUCUUAAUUCUGUCAUCGAAGUUGAUCUUGACAAACUUCAAAGGAAGGAGCUCCAAGGAAACGAAAAAAUAUCCUUUAGAUUGCUAUAGGUGCAUCAUGGGAGUCUCAGGAAUUCGGGGCGUUAAGGGAUAGACCAAUAGUAUUGAAACAUCUAUAUUCUACAACUAAGUAAUAGUCUCUCUUCAACAUCUGAUGCGCAGGC
This 1171-nucleotide long non-coding RNA is filed under the name Elaeis guineensis (African oil palm). RNAcentral describes it as "long non-coding RNA (EGUI_LNC081975)". Lineage: Eukaryota; Viridiplantae; Streptophyta; Magnoliopsida; Arecales; Arecaceae. The record is from RNAcentral.